UAGGAACUGGCCGGAUAGGCUGGGCUCUGCCAGGUCAGUGAAGAAGGAAGUGCUGCCAGGGGCCAGAGGAAGGGGAAACCAAGGCUGUUCCUCAGCCCUCAGUGCCUUAGAACGCAGCUGCUAACCCUGCCUGCCCCAGGCCCUGCAUCCAAAGGCUUCUCCAGGUGAUCCACUUCCUCCCUCCCACUGGCAGGAUGGUGGCUUCCUAUGGUCACUCUCCACCACCUGUGUCGCAGCCAUUCUGCUUUACUCAGAGCAGCUGCUGUCUCCCUCGCAGGUUCACGAGCAGGGGGAGCUGGAGGUGAUCGGCGGAAAUGACAGAGGAUCUCCUGGCUCAAAGAGGGUCCUGCCGCACAGAACUGUGGAAAGAGACAGGUUUCAAGCAGAGAGGCUGCACACUGUGAGGCAGAGAAGGCGUCAAGGAAGGAACAAGACACCUCUGGGAGGCCGAGGUAUUCUAAACUCUGGGGUCCAGAAGGGCGUCUUCCAGCGCAGAGGUCCUGUGACACAGCCACCUAGUACGUCAAAAGAAGUCCUCAGAGAAUAUUUUCCGAAUAAAUAAAUGAGUUUAGACUUGCA
Non-coding RNA from Heterocephalus glaber (naked mole-rat), 579 nucleotides. Lineage: Eukaryota; Metazoa; Chordata; Mammalia; Rodentia; Bathyergidae. The record is from RefSeq and is a predicted model, not a curated record.